GGGCGAUUAGCUCAGUUGGGAGAGCACCUCCCUUACAAGGAGGGGGUCACUGGUUCGAGCCCGGUAUCGCCCA
Molecule: transfer RNA, 73 nt
Organism: Salinivibrio sp. KP-1
Lineage: Bacteria; Pseudomonadati; Pseudomonadota; Gammaproteobacteria; Vibrionales; Vibrionaceae
Rfam family: tRNA
About the family: Transfer RNA (tRNA) molecules are approximately 80 nucleotides in length. Their secondary structure includes four short double-helical elements and three loops (D, anti-codon, and T loops).
Source: Rfam